AAAAAAGCAGGAAGAGAAUUUUAUAUUACCAGUAUUUUCCCCAGAUUAUCUGUACUGUACAAUGGAAAAACCACAUGUGGGUAAUCAGUACUUAAAAUGUGUUGGUCCAUAUUAUGAUGUACCAUAGGCAUAAAAUACACUCUGCAUUUCAAAGACAGUAUAAAAACAAACUUAUUAUAAUCCCUCAUUAAUAACUCAAAGAAUAAUAUUUAGUUAUGUUGAGCUAAAAAAAUACAGCACUAAGAUUAAUUCUAAGACAGGUACUGUGGGGAUCACACUUGUAAUCCUAGCUACUUGGGAGGCUGAGAUUAGGAAAACUGCAGAUCCUGGCCAGCAACAGCAGAAAGUUGACCUUAUUCCACCUCAACCAGUGAAAGGCUGAGCAUGGAUCAUGCACUCUGCCACCU
Perognathus longimembris pacificus (Pacific pocket mouse) is the source of this 407-nucleotide long non-coding RNA. RefSeq lists it as uncharacterized. NCBI's taxonomy places the organism in Eukaryota, Metazoa, Chordata, Mammalia, Rodentia, Heteromyidae. The transcript has 4 exons. The record is from RefSeq and is a predicted model, not a curated record.